This 252-nucleotide ribosomal RNA is filed under the name uncultured bacterium. RNAcentral's name for it is "partial 16S ribosomal RNA". The record is from RNAcentral.
CUGCUGCCUCCCGUAGGAGUCUGGACCGUGUCUCAGUUCCAGUGUGGCUGGUCAUCCUCUCAGACCAGCUAGGGAUCGUCGCCUAGGUGAGCCGUUACCCCACCUACUAGCUAAUCCCAUCUGGGCACAUCCGAUGGCAAGAGGCCCGAAGGUCCCCCUCUUUGGUCUCGCGACGUUAUGCGGUAUUAGCUACCGUUUCCAGUAGUUAUCCCCCUCCAUCAGGCAGUUUCCCAGACAUUACUCACCCGUCCG